RNAcentral lists this ribosomal RNA (311 nucleotides) under uncultured bacterium. RNAcentral's name for it is "bacterial SSU rRNA". It matches the Rfam family "Bacterial small subunit ribosomal RNA", at positions 30 to 334 of the family's 1533-position model. The record is from RNAcentral.
AUUGAACGCUGGCGGCAUGCCUUACACAUGCAAGUCGAACGCACGGCCUUGGGGUUUUCUUGGGGUUGGUGAGUGGCGAACGGGUGAGUAACACGUGAGUAACCUGCCCUCUUCUUUGGGAUAACGGUCGGAAACGGCUGCUAAUACUGGAUAUUCACACAUUGUCGCAUGGUGGUGUGUGGAAAGCUUUUGUGGUGGGGGAUGGGCUCGCGGCCUAUCAGCUUGUUGGUGGGGUGAUGGCUUACCAAGGCUUUGACGGGUAACCGGCCUGAGAGGGUGACCGGUCACAUUGGGACUGAGAUACGGCCCAG